Molecule: non-coding RNA, 142 nt
Organism: Populus trichocarpa (black cottonwood)
Lineage: Eukaryota; Viridiplantae; Streptophyta; Magnoliopsida; Malpighiales; Salicaceae
Source: Rfam
UCUAGAACUCGAGAUAUGGGUUGAACACUGAAUAGUGUCUAGGCUGCGGGAUAGAUUCGGAUUUCUUCGUUGUUGCUACAAUUUGGACUUGAAAACGACCUUGUUAGAUCUUGGACUCCUCAUAACCUACACCUGUGCUAUG